AAUCUUCCUCAUUCCUUCACAGCUGAUGACAGUUAAAGCAGGCUGGUGCCCUUUAAGUGUGGAGGACCCUCUCAGUCAUUGAAGAUCAAGCCAGAAGUGGAGCUCCUAUUUAAGGCUCAAUCUGAAGAUGACUAGUGCUGAAACUGCAUGUGAGCUCUGAGCUUACAGAAUCUACAUCUUACCCAAGUCUCUAAUAUAGAUGUUAGUGGAGGUGCAAGUUAUCAUGUUUAUUCAUUAGAUACUGUAAAGCUGAUUUGGGAGUCAGGGAUAUCUUCAGGUCAGCUCCCCUACCGUUUGAGCUGAGAAGACACCUGGGAGACAAUGCAGAUAUUUCCAGGGAACAGUUUUCAAUACAUAAGCUUUAUUAGUCUAGCAGUAUGUAUUAGUGAUGUGUUUCAGCUGUGUGCAGAUCUGACUUAUGAGAGAAACUGAGGUGAUUUGAGGCAAACUCCCACAUUCCUGAGUUUAAUCACACCAUUACUAAGGAGGGUUGAUGUGAAAUGGGAGUUCCCAACCUUCUGUGUAGUUCUGCUGCUUCACUCCCCUCUCCAAGUUAACUGUGGAAACUUUUAAAUACCUUUUAUUUUCUAGCAAAUGAAACCAGUGACCAGGGAUAUGUCCAGAGCUUAGAUGGGUAGAAAUGGCGUUUUGUUUUUGUUUGUAAUUUGACUUAAAAUUCAGUGCACUAUUUCCCCAGGUCACUCCAAUCACAGUAGCUUGGGAGAGGGGUUUUGAAGUAAAUAAAAAAUACUGUUCUUCAGGGGGGUCAUCCUCUGAGGUUUGACUGUGACAACAGCAUGCAAGCAGCAAAAAUUGGCUAUUGGGUUCACCUGCUACUUCCUUGCCCUCCCCCUAAAAACUACUAACACUGUAAUUCUGUUUCUCUCUUUCUCCAUGGAGGUUACUCCUAAGAAGAGGUAAGGUAGGAGGGGGUGGAAAGUGUCUGCAAUUUUGCAGCUUUGUUUCCCAAAAGUAUUCCCCCUUAUUUCCCCAGUUUUAACCCCCACCCCGUUAACAAAAAGCCCUGUGAGAGGGAAUACGAUUUUAAUUUUCCCAAUCAAAAUGGUAAUCUCUGCCCUUAAAGGAGAACCACUGCACCUAUCUUCCUGAAAUUUUGCACCCCCAACCUAAAAAUAUGUGAUUAUGCCUGCUAUUUACAUCCAAAACAGACAUCAAAUUUUAAAAGUCCACCCCCCUUCACUCCACAGAUGAAUCUGCCUGAAAUUUAACAGGCUUAAUGCAAUUGUGGCAGCAAGUGGGGAAUCUUUUGUCUGCAAAUUCCAUCCACUUAUGUGAAGAAAAAAAAAAUAGGUAGCAGUUUUGAAGAUUCCCCAUUAUAGUCAAUGGGUGGAAAACAGAGCUUCAGAUUUAAUAUGACAGAUUAGAUAAGAGGAUAAGAAAUCAAACACAAAUGGUACAGAGUGGAUCUGAAACAGAUUAGUCAUCUUCCAAACCACUACAGAUAAAAGAAGAAUAUUGUAAUCACUGCAUACCCAUAACUGUGUCCAUUUGAGGCUUUUAAUAGCUAUUCCCCUUCAGUCCAUUUGGAAACUAUUUCUGGCUAGCACAACUGCAUUUGGAGAGUGUCCUCAGUCUGAAAAAUGGUUCUCCAUAGGACUGAUGCUUGGAAAUGGUCCAAGUCAACUUGGGUAUAUGGAACUAGUUGCCCUGUUCUUUGGAUCAUGGCCAUCAAUUCCAAAAGUGGUUAGCAUAAAUCUUGAUUUCUUGCAUUAAUUGAUUUGUUGAUUUGAAUGCUAACUCUAUUUCAUUACUAUGCUUCAUUUACUUUAGUAUGUUUUAUUACCUUAUUCCAUUUGGACUUUCAAACAUGAUAUUGAAAAAUCAACUCAUAAAAGCCCAGGAGUUUUAAAAAUGAUCACUCACCCAAUUAAGCAAUAUGCCUUGUAGCAUGUGCUAUGAUAAACAAGCAAUCAUAAGUUUCACAUCAUCAAAUAAGCACAUUCAGUGCUUCAUUACAUGUAGUAUCAUUUCACGGAAUCAUGAUUUAUGAUAUGAUGAUUUUAUUUCAGAAGUUAUUGAUUUUAUGAUUUAUUUCAUUAUGACUUGAUUGCAUUUUGCCUGAAACUUACAUUAACAUCAAUAUUUAGUCCCACAAAUUUAAAAACAAAUCAAUAUUUACAAAAUUCACCACAUAUCAAAGUUCCAGUAAAUAAACUGAGAUGUGAAAGGGUGGGAGUGAGGAGUCAGUGCUUUUAGGUCUUCUACUCUUGGUUUAUAUAUACUGUGCUACAUCUGAGUUUAGGAUGAAGAUGCAUGCCAUUAUUAUUGGGUUGUAUCUAAUUCUAGUCAUCCAAUGCUAGUCACACUCGCUGUAAACCCAGAUAACUUUCAGUGGUUUUACUCUGAGUAGAAUUUAGAGACAACCCAUAAUUAUUUCACACCAUUGUUUGACAUGGAACUAGUUACUACUUAAUAAAAAAGAUAGAGAAAACAAGUUAAAGAUUCAAUGAUAACAUGGGCACAGAAAAUUGAUGGUAAUAUUCCUAUGGAAACCUGGGAAAUACCGUGAAAAAGAGCUCACAAAUUAUAAUUAUACCAGGCUAUAAGAGAACAAUGAUAUGAAGUUAUAUCAAGGUGGUAUGAUACCUGUUGCAACUAAUGCUAUAAACAAAAAUAUACAAAAAUGAGCUGGCAAUGCACACACACGCAUAUAUCAUCACUUCAGCAUUCCUUGUGGGAUUCUGAUUCAUAAAUGACACAUGUUAUUGUUAAGGCAAGGCUGUAUGUGCCACAUGGCCUGCUUUGCAACCUUUAAGCUAGCCUGCUGCUCCCAAAUGUGGUGGAAGACCUUGUCCCAUUGCCACUGUUGUAGAAAAAUGCCAGCUGGGUCAUGUGUAUGGUAGAGGGGUGUCAUCUAUUCCUUUGCUUCAGGCAGCAAAAGGUCUUAACCCAGUCUUUGUGCCACCUCAGAAAUGUUGCCACACUCACACAGACGUAACAAAAAACAACCACCAAAAAUAAUCAGUGUCUGAAUUUCUUGUAGCUAUAUCUUGCAUUCACCACAAUACGGUGCAUUAUAGAGUAUGGUAUUAUAUUUGCGCUCUCUCUCUCUCUCUCUCUCUCUCUGUGUGUGUGUGUGUGUGUGUGUGUUUGUAUAUACAUAUGAUUCAACAGCUUCAUUCUGAUUUGUCUGCUUGUAUCCAUAGGCAUAUUUCUAAAGGUUACCAUUCAAUAUUUAAUUCUGCAUAUAUUUAGAGAGACAAAGAUUUAACAAAUUAAUGCUUUAACUAGCUGAUAUUUCAGCUGCUACUUUUUUUCUUUUUGCCGUAAGAACCCAUCAAACAUUUACAACACAACAAAAUCCCUCCAACCUGCAGCCAGUUUUAAUAAUGAAUUCAGAGUCAAAUCAUCACCAGCAGCUUACCAUUUUUCUUACCAUUACAUUUGUUUCCCCUGAGCUCUUGAGAGAGGUGAAGCAGACUUGGCCUGCCUAGAUAUAUGUUAUCUUUAUGGGGAUUCAAACACAAAUGCUAGAAUACUGUUAUUUCUGGGAGCUUAAUGGUUCAGUGAAGAGCUGCCACAUGCUACUCUAAUGGAGAGGGUUAUGAUUUGCCUAGUACCAUUUGUUACAUCAUUUACUCUUUCAGUGUUCCUUUGUCGCAAAAAGACAUCCAGACUUUCCUUUUAAAUUCAUUGCUUAGCAUGUAUUGUGAUGCUGCAGAGCUAGGUACCUAUGAAAGCUGUGUGGCCUUAGAAUUCAUUAUUAAGAUCAGGCCAAUAUUGAGCCAGAAAGAAUGUCAUGUAUGCAUAGUAAUCACACACAACCAGCCUUUCAAAAGGAGAUUAAAUAACUGAAAGGGGUUGAGUAAUCAUCCUGAAAAGUAAAUAAAAUAAAAUCAUGAAGCCCUCUUCAACCACUUGCAAUUCUGAUAUGUGUUUUCUGCAUAAUCCUGAAAACAUUGGAUGAAAAAGGACUGUGUGUUAUAUUUGAUUUGAAAGAUUCUCAAGAGCCCAUACUAUGCCUAGAGAGUAAUGAAAGUGAAUCACUGGAAGAGUAAUAUGUAUCACAGCUAGGCUGUUACUACCAAAUCUUUAGAAAUUCAGGUCAGUGAGGAGAUGAGACUUGGGGCAGGAGGAGCAUGAAACACUCUUCUCCCAUUUGCAUGUUGGCGUAAGGAAACCUACAGAUUUUUGGAGUGAGGAAAGAUACUUGUGUUCCUUUGCAACAUUGUUGAAUUUGUAACCGUCAUCUUUCCCUUCAAAAUGCAUAUUCUGUGCAUCAUAUUUUGGGGGGAAAUAGCAACUGUCAGUCAUAGUUGUCACUGCAUUUGUGUAUUAUGGCUGUAAUUUACUUCAUUUCACUUUUUUAUUUGAUUUCUUAGUUGCCUAAUAAAAACAUUUUUCUAGACAACACACACAACUAAAACAACCGUAUCGGGACAUUCCUCUGGGCCAAUCCCACGAAACACUUCAACCCACAUCCGUAGAUGUGAGCACGCAUUAGCAGAGUUCAGCGAAAGCAAGAUUGUGUCGGAUAUGUGCCAUCAGAAUCUUCAUUUACAGCAAAGAAAACAAAAGCAUCAUGACGACCAGUGAGCUGCAUCACACAGCUUCUCACACAGACACUUCCCUCAGAAGAGAGAUAGAAAACAAAGACUGGAAGUAUCUCAGACUGACUUCCAUUCCCAUACAACAACAGUAUAGAAAAGUAGACAUAGGAUCAUAUGAUCCAGCAAUGGAAAAUGAAAUAUACUAACAAACCGUUGCCUUACCAAUAAAACCCAGCCGGCAAUCAGAAACAAACUGGAUCAUAGGAACCAACUCUUAGGGCUGAGAUCCUUUCACCCUCCCCAAUAACUUAUUUGAAGGGGAUGUCCCCCAAAGUUGAUAGGCAUUGCAUCAUGUGAUUGAUUAUGAGGGGUGGGGCUUACCUGCCCACCCAAUAUUUUAUUCAUGUUGGCACCCCUAAAUUGGAUUAUAUGUUAGCUCCCUGUGUCCUUAAGUGUACAUUUUAUAAAAGAUAAAUGGCCAGAAUGCUCUUCCUCAAUCUAGAUUGGAACCCUAAUGUGAAGGAGAAGAACCACAGUCCCUUUGCCUGCCCCCAGAUUCUCCAUGCCCCCAGCAAUUUACAUAGAAAGAGAAAUAUUCAUCAAUGGGAGCUGCCACCCCCUGGGCUACGUAAACCGUUGCUGGUGAUGAGGGCAAUCCAGACCAGGACCACAAAGUUAGCACAGAGUUAAAGACUUCCCUACCCCCCAGGCUAGGGUUGAUCACACUCUUUAUGUCUAGUUUGUGUUCAUUUGGGGUUUUGUAUGUGCCUGCACUGAUGGGCACAUAUAAGGAGAUAUGCUGGUCGUCAUUCACACCCAUCCCCUGCUAUCUAACUUUUUCUAACCAUUAGUUUUCAAAAGUCAACAAUUCUGCACUAUUAACUAGAAAUUCACCCAACAAAGCAUGGUUUGCCAGCAGAUGCCAGCAGAUGUAACAAUAUUAUAGCUUCUGCCUUUUACAACUCUCUUGAAAUAUAUGGAAAGUUGUAAGCAAGCUGCCAUGUGUUUCAAAUACAACCAGCAAAAUUGCCCCACAUGACUUCAUAGUUAACUAAGCUGCGAGAACCCUUUUCUUCUGUCAUCUAAUUUUCUAUGUGCAAUUUUUACAUGGAGGCACAUUCCAGUCAUGUGAUUUCCUGCCAGCAAUUUGAAGUACAUUUUAGACAUCUAAUAUGCUGCUUCUGAUAACCAGACCUAGAUUUCCAGCCUAAUUCAUACUUUUCUGUUUGUUUUGGCCAUAUUGUCUCCUUCAUUUGUUUUCUUUUUUCUCCAUUUAUUUUCUAAGGCUGGAAAAUGUUAGAAGCAAGAAAACUUCCUGCUUACACACUAAACAAUGUUAUGGUCGAUAGAUGCUAAUAACCAUGUUGGUAUUUGUGCUAAAACCUAUGCAACCAAAUCUCUGAAUAAAAUUCCACACUGCACUUCACAGUAUUUUGAAUAUCUUGCUUUGUGACCCAAACCAAUCUUUCAUAUUCCAGCUGCAUAGCGAAAUCACGUUUCAAACAUUUCCCCAACAAUAUGUGGUUGUUUAUGCACAAUUUCCUGAUGCUAAUGUAAAAAAUAAAGUGUGCA
This is a non-coding RNA of Podarcis lilfordi (Lilford's wall lizard), 6083 nucleotides long. Lineage: Eukaryota; Metazoa; Chordata; Lepidosauria; Squamata; Lacertidae. The record is from the annotation of a GenBank genome assembly.